AGACUAGAUAACGAGACAUUCAAAAAGGAGGGUCGUUCAACAUCAGCUGUGUUUUAUUGAAUGGUAAUGAUCGCAUUUCAAUAAACGUCCAAUUACGCCAAACGCGCCCUAAGCUUCUACAGACUGCAUUGCGUCACUACGGAAGUAGUAAUGGACAAAUCACAAUGGUGGUCUAUAUAGUAGUAUACCAAUUGGCAAUUAACAGUAUACGCAAUUCAUUCGAAUGGAGACAUAUUGCGCGAACACAAGUUUUUGUCCACCGCUCUAUGUACUGGCUAAUAAAUAAAGCAAAAUAUUAACGUUGCCACUUCUUCUAUGAGUUUAACUCUUCUUUAUGGCUCUGAGCUCUUGGUCUCCUAGAAGGAAUGACGUCUAAGUUUAGUAGCUGACGAGAAACGAGAAAACGAUGUUCAUACUAGUGAAAGAGAUAAGUUCAAAAUGGAAGUAUAUUUUGUCAUAUUAGUCUUGAUCGAAAGUGAAAUGAGAAAAAAUGUACCGCUUACAUCAAUUUUAUUAUGCAUUAAAUGAAGACAACACAUGAGGGAUGACAGAAUGACAAAGAGGAAAUUAAGCAUGAUACAAAGAUCUGCUACUAUAUUAUAGACCAUAUUAUUAAUUUUAAUAUUUUAUAAAAUGUUAUUAAGUAAAAAAAUAUGUUAUUAUUUGUUUAGUAUAUUAAUAAAUACUUAGUAUCUUAUGUACUAAACCCUAGUAUAAAGUU
This is a long non-coding RNA of Aphis gossypii (cotton aphid), 721 nucleotides long. RefSeq lists it as uncharacterized. The transcript has 3 exons. Lineage: Eukaryota; Metazoa; Arthropoda; Insecta; Hemiptera; Aphididae. The record is from RefSeq and is a predicted model, not a curated record.